UGCUCUUGACAUGUUAGGAAGACCUAAGAGAUUAGGUUGUGCCGCAAGGAACCUAAACAC
This 60-nucleotide ribosomal RNA is filed under the name uncultured organism. RNAcentral's name for it is "partial 16S ribosomal RNA". The record is from RNAcentral.